Molecule: long non-coding RNA, 1054 nt
Organism: Tympanuchus pallidicinctus (lesser prairie-chicken)
Lineage: Eukaryota; Metazoa; Chordata; Aves; Galliformes; Phasianidae
Exons: 2
Source: RefSeq, a predicted model, not a curated record
ACAAUUAAAGGAGUAAUACAUGCAACAAAGUUUGCUUCAUAAGUAAUUAAGGUGCUUUACACAAAGGGUGGCUCAGAUCCUCCAGGCAAUCUGAGGAAGGAUAUAAACGCUCUUUUCACACACAGCUUUUCUCACUACUUCUCUUGGUUUGUUCUCUGCGGUACACUGAGAAACCUGUGCCACAGCCGGGUGAUGGCUACCAACCAGCUGGCUUGCUCCAAUCCCUGCGAGGCCAAAUGCCCCCAGCCGCUGGCCAGCAGUAGCAACGAGCCCUGCGUGGUGACCUGCGGUGACUCCCGGGUCAUCAUUUACCCACCACCUGUGGUCGUCACCUUCCCAGGGCCCAUCCUCACCACCUACCCACAGCAAACCGUGGUGGGGUCCUCAGAGUCUGCAGAAUUGACCCAGGCUGAGCCCCCCGCCGCGGUAGCCCUACCUGCAGAGGCGCCACCAGUUGAGAAACUCACCCCACAAGUCAUCACCCGUCCUGAGCCGCGCUGUGCUCCCAAGUACUCCUACACCUAUUCUUCCCAAUGGACACAUCCAUGCAACUCAUAUCGCUCCGGAAAGCGGUGGGCAUACUGAAUACUCAUGGAACAAUCUGAAGAAGUCAAGGGAACUCUAGAAGAAAAUUAAGGGUGGAGCUAAUGGGAUCAGCUCAAAUCACCCCCAGGGCUGGGCUCCAGCUGGAGAGAAUGAGAGCUGUGAGAGCUCAGCCCUUGUGGAAGGCAGGCUUGUGUGUGCAUUUCCUCAUUUUGCCUUUAGGUUAGGUCUGUUAUCCUCUGGCUUCCCCGUUUAGUCAUCUGCUUACAUUAUGCUUUGUUUCAGUUAUGUUAUUAACACUGAUUUUAGAGAGGUGACUUAGGACGCUAGAAAUUGCACGCAGGAAAUGCACUAAAAGGGAAAUACAUAAAUUGAUUGCAUUACUUGGAUGCUGGUGAUCAGCGAAAGCCCUACUGGACCCCCAGAAAGAUGUACUUUAUAUUCUGGACAACUUAUACUUUGUACAAUUGUAGAAAAGCUGUCUCCUUCCAAAUAAAUUUUCUAUACCAAA